UACGUAGGGUGCAAGCGUUAAUCGGAAUUACUGGGCGUAAAGCGUGCGCAGGCGGUUCUAUAAGACAGAUGUGAAAUCCCCGGGCUCAACCUGGGAACUGCAUUUGUGACUGUAGAGCUGGAGUACGGUAGAGGGGGAUGGAAUUCCGCGUGUAGCAGUGAAAUGCGUAGAUAUGCGGAGGAAUACCGAUGGCGAAGGCAAUCCCCUGGACCUGUACUGACGCUCAUGCACGAAAGCGUGGGGAGCAAACAGG
This 253-nucleotide ribosomal RNA is filed under the name uncultured bacterium. RNAcentral's name for it is "partial 16S ribosomal RNA". It matches the Rfam family "Bacterial small subunit ribosomal RNA", at positions 524 to 776 of the family's 1533-position model. The record is from RNAcentral.